GAGGAACGCUGGCGGCGUGCUUAACACAUGCAAGUCGAACGAUGAAGCCCAGCUUGCUGGGUGGAUUAGUGGCGAACGGGUGAGUAACACGUGAGUAACCUGCCCUUAACUCUGGGAUAAGCCUGGGAAACUGGGUCUAAUACCGGAUAGGAGCGACCACCGCAUGGUGGGUGUUGGAAAGAUUUAUCGGUUUUGGAUGGACUCGCGGCCUAUCAGCUUGUUGGUGAGGUAAUGGCUCACCAAGGCGACGACGGGUAGCCGGCCUGAGAGGGUGACCGGCCACACUGGGACUGAGACACGGCCCAGACUCCUACGGGAGGCAGCAGUGGGGAAUAUUGCACAAUGGGCGCAAGCCUGAUGCAGCGACGCCGCGUGAGGGAUGACGGCCUUCGGGUUGUAAACCUCUUUCAGUAGGGAAGAAGCGAAAGUGACGGUACCUGCAGAAGAAGCACCGGCUAACUACGUG
Molecule: ribosomal RNA, 466 nt
Filed under: uncultured bacterium
Lineage: Bacteria
Description: partial 16S ribosomal RNA
Rfam family: Bacterial small subunit ribosomal RNA
Source: RNAcentral